This 269-nucleotide ribosomal RNA is filed under the name uncultured prokaryote. Its description in RNAcentral is "partial 16S ribosomal RNA". It matches the Rfam family "Bacterial small subunit ribosomal RNA", at positions 524 to 792 of the family's 1533-position model. The record is from RNAcentral.
UACGGAGGAUCCGAGCGUUAUCCGGAUUUAUUGGGUUUAAAGGGUGCGCAGGCGGGAGAUUAAGUCGGCGGUGAAAUUUUGCAGCUCAACUGUAAAAGUGCCUUCGAAACUGGUUUCCUUGAGUGUAGAUGAAGUAGGCGGAAUUUGUGGUGUAGCGGUGAAAUGCAUAGAUAUCACGAGGAACUCCGAUUGCGCAGGCAGCUUACUAAACUACUACUGACGCUCAUGCACGAAGGCGUGGGGAUCAAACAGGAUUAGAUACCCGGGUA